RNAcentral lists this ribosomal RNA (582 nucleotides) under uncultured Variovorax sp. Its description in RNAcentral is "bacterial SSU rRNA". It matches the Rfam family "Bacterial small subunit ribosomal RNA", at positions 102 to 680 of the family's 1533-position model. Lineage: Bacteria; Pseudomonadati; Pseudomonadota; Betaproteobacteria; Burkholderiales; Comamonadaceae. The record is from RNAcentral.
ACGGGUGAGUAAUACAUCGGAACGUGCCCAAUCGUGGGGGAUAACGCAGCGAAAGCUGUGCUAAUACCGCAUACGAUCUACGGAUGAAAGCAGGGGAUCGCAAGACCUUGCGCGAAUGGAGCGGCCGAUGGCAGAUUAGAUAGUUGGUGAGGUAAAGGCUCACCAAGCCUUCGAUCUGUAGCUGGUCUGAGAGGACGACCAGCCACACUGGGACUGAGACACGGCCCAGACUCCUACGGGAGGCAGCAGUGGGGAAUUUUGGACAAUGGGCGAAAGCCUGAUCCAGCCAUGCCGCGUGCAGGAUGAAGGCCUUCGGGUUGUAAACUGCUUUUGUACGGAACGAAACGGUCUUUUCUAAUAAAGAAGGCUAAUGACGGUACCGUAAGAAUAGGCACCGGCUAACUACGUGCCAGCAGCCGCGGUAAUACGUAGGGUGCAAGCGUUAAUCGGAAUUACUGGGCGUAAAGCGUGCGCAGGCGGAGAUGUAAGACAGUUGUGAAAUCCCCGGGCUCAACCUGGGAACUGCAUCUGUGACUGCAUCGCUGGAGUACGGCAGAGGGGGAUGGAAUUCCGCGUGUAGCA